UUAACUACAUUAUUUUGCUUUCUGGAAGUGUCUUCUGUCUUUUGUUUUGUUGGAAUAUGGCAACAUCAUUUUUCUUUUUAAAUUUCUUUGUUACUAGCAAGUUUUUGAAUUAUGUUAUUGGUGAUUGUCAUGCAUUAUCAAUUUGUUGUUGGUUAUUUUUUUAUUAAAAAAAAACACUUAAGUAGGCUAAUUUCCACUUGUCAUCCCAGAACUUAGGGCACUUUAAAG
Molecule: unclassified non-coding RNA, 228 nt
Filed under: Hevea brasiliensis (rubber tree)
Lineage: Eukaryota; Viridiplantae; Streptophyta; Magnoliopsida; Malpighiales; Euphorbiaceae
Source: RNAcentral